Molecule: ribosomal RNA, 460 nt
Filed under: uncultured bacterium
Lineage: Bacteria
Description: partial 16S ribosomal RNA
Rfam family: Bacterial small subunit ribosomal RNA
Source: RNAcentral
CCUACGGGCGGCAGCAGUGAGGAAUAUUGGUCAAUGGGCGCGAGCCUGAACCAGCCAGGUAGCGUGAAGGAUGACUGCCCUACGGGUUGUAAACUUCUUUUAUAAAGGAAUAAAGUGAGGCACGUGUGCCUUGUUGUAUGUACUUUAUGAAUAAGGAUCGGCUAACUCAGUGCCAGCAGCCGCGGUAAUACGGAGGAUCCGAGCGUUAUCGGGAUUUAUUGGGUUUAAAGGGAGCGUAGAUGGGUUGUUAAGUCAGUUGUGAAAGUUUGCGGCUCAACCGUAAAAUUGCAAUUGAUACUGGCCGCCUUGAGUGCAGGUGAGGUAGGUGGAAUUCGUGGUGUAGCGGUGAAAUGCGUAGAUAUUACGAAGAACUCCGAUUGCGAAGGCAGCUUACUAGACUGCCACUGACAUUGAUGCUCGAAAGUGUGGGUAUCAAACAGGAUUAGAUACCCGGGUAGUC